This 2410-nucleotide ribosomal RNA is filed under the name bacterium. RNAcentral describes it as "partial 23S ribosomal RNA". It matches the Rfam family "Bacterial large subunit ribosomal RNA", at positions 1 to 2062 of the family's 2925-position model. The record is from RNAcentral.
CCGUCGGGACACAAGGGCGUAGGGUGGAUGCCUCGGCACCAGAUGCCGACGAAGGACGUUGCAGGCAACGAUAUGCCUCGGGGAGCUGCCAAGCAAGCUAUGAUCCGGGGAUGUCCGAAUGGGGAAACCCGAUACCGCGUUGAACGGUAUCCCCCGCUGUCUUUGACAGCGGGCGGGAACCCGGUGAAGUGAAACAUCUCAGUAACCGGAGGAAAAGAGAACAAGUUCGUUGUUAGUUUUUAGGGCGCCGCGCAAGCGGCAGCGAGCACGCGACGCGUGCAAACGCAUCGCGCGUUCGCAUCCUAGAAACUUACAUCGAAUCAUUCCCCUAGUAGUGGCGAGCGAAAGGGGAACAGCCCAAAUUGCAUGGAGCGCAAUGGUCCGACCAUCGCUGUGCCGCAAGGCGCAACGGUCAGUAGGGCUACUGCACACGGGACGGUGAUGCUCCAUGUGAGGUUAUGCGCAGCAGGGGUCGCGUGCGUCCAGCCACGCGGAUUGGAAGGAACGCCCGUAAGGGCGAUGAUACGUAGCCGAAUCCUCUGGAAAGAGGAGCCGUAGCAGGUGAUAGCCCUGUAGGCGAAACGAAUCAUGCUCCAAUGCUCUGUUUGCGAGAGUACGGCGGGACACGUGAAAUCCCGUCGGAAGUAGGGACGACUACGUUCCAAGGCUAAAUACAUCUGGUGACCGAUAGUGAACUAGUACCGUGAGGGAACGGUGAAAAAUAGCCCGGGAGGGCGAUGAAAUAGAUCUGAAACCCUACGCUUACAAGGAGUCGGAGCACGUCGCUAUCGCUCCGUGCGAACAAGGAGCAUUGCAUAUGGAACAAGGAAGCCGGGAAUAGAAUCCCGCGUGCUUUUUGUUUCGUGCGCUUUGCUUCAGGUCGUACAGAGCGGUAGCGGUGUGUCACGGCGUGCCUAUUGAAGAAUGAGCCAGUGAGUUCGUCGUUGUUGCUUGUCGAAGGCCUACGGGCCGAAGGCAGAGGGAAACCGAGUCUGAAUAGGGCAACAGUAAGUAUGUUAGUUGCGAGUCGCUGUGAGGAUUCGAGGGGCGCAUCGCGCUGCUCGCGUCUUCGCACGCUUGCAACUAACACACUUACACGGCAGCUGCGACGAGACCCGAAACCGGGUGAGCUUACCAUGGGCAGGGUGAACUUUGGGUAACACCAGAGGGAGGCCCGAACCCGUAGGUCGUGUAACGCCUUGGGAUGACCUGUGGUAAGAGGAGAAAUUCCAAUCGAACUCGGUGAUAGCUGGUUCUCCCCGAAAUAGCUUGUGGGCUAGCGCGUUGUUGCCCCCUGGGGGUAGAGCUACUGAUUGGAGCUUCCGGGAGCGAUCCUAGGGCCUCCAACCAAACUCCGAAUACCAGGUACGGUAGAACAGCGUAGUCAGUACGUGGGGGCGAAGCUCCACGGAACUAAAGGGAAACAGCCCAGAUCCCAAGCUAAGGUCCUUAAAUCUCGGCUCAGUGGUAAAGGAGGUGGGACGGCGUUGACAACCAGGAGGUUGGCUUAGAAGCAGCCACCCUUUCAAGAAAGCGUAACAGCUCACUGGUCAAGCUAUCCUGCGCCGAAAAUAUAACGGGGCUAAGCCGAGUACCGAAGCUGGGGGACGUACGCCGAUCCGUCGGCAUACGUCGGUAGGGGAGCGUUCCCUGCAGCAGUGAAGCCGGACCCGCGAGGGCCGGUGGAGCGCAGGGAAGUGAGAAUGCUGGCAUGAGUAGCAGGAAGGAAAGUGAGAACCUUUCCCACCGUAAGUCCAAGGUUUCCUGGGCAACGACUAUCGACCCAGGGUGAGGCGGUCCUAAGGCAAGUCCCCGCUUUGGUGGGGGGUAGUCGAUGGACAGCAGGUUAAUAUUCCUGCCCUCUCGAUCGUGUUCCCGUCGCUGACGCAUUGUAGUAGUCUCCGGGCCUUUUGGCUAUAGGUCUGUCUCGUGCAGCGCACGGGACGCAGGUGAAGCCGCAAGGCGGAUCCAAUGGAGGCGAGCGUGGUGCCCAGAAAAGGCGACGAUUAAUAGCGGUCGGGAUCCGUACCGACAACCAACUCAGGUGGACGGGCACAAGUGUGCCAAGGUGUACGGGAGAACCCUCGUGAAGGAACUAGGCAAAAAAUUGGCCGUAACUUCGGGAUAAGGCCUGCCUCGCGCAAGCGAGGCCGCAGCGAGCGAUGCCAAGCGACUGUUUACCAAAAACACAGGUCCCUGCGAAACCGUAAGGUGAUGUAUAGGGGCUGACUCCUGGCCAGUGUCAGAACGUUAAAGCGAGAGGUGAAACUUCUUCGGAAGCGUAGCUUUGAACUGAAGCGCUGAUGAACGCCGGCGGUAACCAUAACCGUCCUAAGGUGGAUUUGCUGCCUUAGUGAGGUGCAAGACCUCCUCCGAACUCCAUGCCAAUAGGAGAUGUAGGAGAAAAUUC